UACGUAGGGACCAAGCGUUGUUCGGAUUUACUGGGCGUAAAGCGCGUGUAGGCGGCCCUGCAAGUCGGGUGUGAAAUCCCAUGGCUCAACCAUGGAAGUGCACUCGAAACUGCAGGGCUAGAGUCCUGGAGAGGAAGGUGGAAUGCUUGGUGUAGAGGUGAAAUUCGUAGAUAUCAAGCGGAACACCGGUGGCGAAGGCGGCCUUCUGGACAGUGACUGACGCUGAGACACGAAAGCGUGGGGAGCAAACAGG
This 253-nucleotide ribosomal RNA is filed under the name uncultured bacterium. RNAcentral describes it as "partial 16S ribosomal RNA". It matches the Rfam family "Bacterial small subunit ribosomal RNA", at positions 524 to 776 of the family's 1533-position model. The record is from RNAcentral.